This 460-nucleotide ribosomal RNA is filed under the name uncultured bacterium. Its description in RNAcentral is "partial 16S ribosomal RNA". It matches the Rfam family "Bacterial small subunit ribosomal RNA", at positions 338 to 795 of the family's 1533-position model. The record is from RNAcentral.
CCUACGGGAGGCAGCAGUGAGGAAUAUUGGUCAAUGGACGAGAGUCUGAACCAGCCAAGUAGCGUGAAGGAUGACUGCCCUAUGGGUUGUAAACUUCUUUUAUAAAGGAAUAAAACGAGGCACGUGUGCCUUUUUGCAUGUACUUUAUGAAUAAGGAUCGGCUAACUCCGUGCCAGCAGCCGCGGUAAUACGGAGGAUCCGAGCGUUAUCCGGAUUUAUUGGGUUUAAAGGGCGCGUAGAUGGGUUGUUAAGUCAGUUGUGAAAGUUUGCGGCUCAACCGUAAAAUUGCAAUUGAUACUGGAAGUCUUGAGUAUAGUUGAGGUAGGCGGAAUUCGUGGUGUAGCGGUGAAAUGCUUAGAUAUCACGAAGAACCCCGAUUGCGAAGGCAGCUUACUAAACCGUAACUGACACUGAUGCGCGAAAGUGUGGGGAUCAAACAGGAUUAGAUACCCGUGUAGUC